RNAcentral lists this long non-coding RNA (277 nucleotides) under Setaria viridis. RNAcentral's name for it is "long non-coding RNA (SVIR_LNC002188)". Lineage: Eukaryota; Viridiplantae; Streptophyta; Magnoliopsida; Poales; Poaceae. The record is from RNAcentral.
GAUGCCACUCCACUUCGCCUACGCACGCAGCUUCGCCGCCCCUUGUCUUCCGUCGCUGCUACCUGCCUUUGACGCUGGCCGCGUUGCCGGCGCACUGGGCGCCUGCUCAGGGGCCCCCACUGGUGCUGCCAGGGCUCCUGUCCUUCCCAAAGGGGCCGUCACCAUCCCGCUUGUCAUUAACCAUCAUGGCAUGACCACCCGUGCCAAACAUGGGUUCCGCCAGCAUGUUCUGUUCCACACUACACCACUAUCUCCGGUUCCGAAGUCCUUCCGUAGU